RNAcentral lists this ribosomal RNA (197 nucleotides) under uncultured bacterium. RNAcentral describes it as "partial 16S ribosomal RNA". It matches the Rfam family "Bacterial small subunit ribosomal RNA", at positions 328 to 539 of the family's 1533-position model. The record is from RNAcentral.
ACGCUCGACACCUACGGGAGGAGCAGUGGGGAAUAUUGCACAAUGGGGGAAACCCUGAUGCAGCGACGCCGCGUGAGCGAAGAAGUAUUUCGGUAUGUAAAGCUCUAUCAGCAGGGAAGAAACUGACGGUACCUGACUAAGAAGCACCGGCUAAAUACGUGCCAGCAGCCACGGUAAUCUGAGCGGGCUGGCAAGGC